GAUGAACGCUGGCGGCGUGCCUAACACAUGCAAGUCGAGCGAACAGACGAGGAUCUUUCUCCUCUGACGUUAGCGGCGGACGGGUGAGUAACACGUGGAUAACCUACCUAUAAGACUGGGAUAACUUCGGGAACCCUGAUCUACUACCGGAUAACAUGUUGAACCUGAUGGUUCAUCAGUGCAAGACCUUCUUGCUGUGCCUAGUUGAUGGUUCCUCGCCGCAUUAGUUAGUUGGUAAGGUAACGGCUUACCAAGGCAACGAUGCGUAGCCGACCUGAGAGGAUGAUCGGCCACACUGGAACUGAGACACGGUCCAGACUCCUACGGGAGGCAGCAGUAGGGAAUAUUAGGCAAUGGGCGAAAGCCUGACGGAGCCACGCCGCGUGAGUGAAGAAGGUCUUCGGAUCGUAAAACUCUGUUAGUAGGGAGGAACAAAUGUGUGAGUAACUAUGCACGUCUUGACGGUACCUAAUGAAAAAGCAACGGCUAACUACGUG
RNAcentral lists this ribosomal RNA (497 nucleotides) under uncultured bacterium. RNAcentral describes it as "partial 16S ribosomal RNA". It matches the Rfam family "Bacterial small subunit ribosomal RNA", at positions 28 to 507 of the family's 1533-position model. The record is from RNAcentral.